GAUGAACGCUGGCGGCGUGCCUAAUACAUGCAAGUCGAGCGAACAGACGAGGAGCUUGCUCCUCUGACGUUAGCGGCGGACGGGUGAGUAACACGUGGAUAACCUACCUAUAAGACUGGGAUAACUUCGGGAAACCGGAGCUAAUACCGGAUAAUAUAUUGAACCGCAUGGUUCAAUAGUGAAAGACGGUUUUGCUGUCACUUAUAGAUGGAUCCGCGCCGCAUUAGCUAGUUGGUAAGGUAACGGCUUACCAAGGCAACGAUGCGUAGCCGACCUGAGAGGGUGAUCGGCCACACUGGAACUGAGACACGGUCCAGACUCCUACGGGAGGAAGCAGUAGGGAAUCUUCCGCAAUGGGGGAAAGCCUGACGGAGCAACGCCGCGUGAGUGAUGAAGGUCUUCGGAUCGUAAAACUCUGUUAUUAGGGAAGAACAAAUGUGUAAGUAACUAUGCACGUCUUGACGGUACCUAAUCAGAAAGCCACGGCUAACUACGUG
This 497-nucleotide ribosomal RNA is filed under the name uncultured bacterium. RNAcentral describes it as "partial 16S ribosomal RNA". It matches the Rfam family "Bacterial small subunit ribosomal RNA", at positions 28 to 507 of the family's 1533-position model. The record is from RNAcentral.